CUGGGUCAGAAGAACUUCAGAUUGAGCCUCUUGAAACAUUUGCUCUUGGAAUUCUCCCUCUCAGGAAACUAACAGCCUGCUAUGAAGCCCAAGCCACAAAGAGAGGCCAAGGGGAAAUAAACAGAGUGUGAUUAUAUGCAAAACCUACAAGAAUGAGGACCUCCAAACUCAGUGUACAGAGUGAUUUUCUGCUGAAACAAUUGGAAAAUAAAAGAGACAUCAGUGUGUGAAUGACGACUUUCUGUUGCUGACUUGGAAGACAGAGGAAUUGGGUCAUGAGCCGAGGAAGGUGGGCAGCUUCUAAAAGGCGGAAAAGGCAGGGGAUGGCUCUGGCAGAGAAUCACUCCUGAGUACAACUUUCUGGCGGAAGCUCUAUCACAAGACCUGCAUAUGAGAACUGCAGCUAAAGGUCAAGGCUUCCUGAAACAGCUUCAGUAAACAUUCUUAAAGUUAUACAAGAUGUAUACAGAAAAUUACAUUAAAUACCUGUCUCCAGCCUGCUUCAUGUAUUUCUGCAAUGACUAAAGAUGCAUGUUCAGUUUUGGAGGAAUCUUGGGCAACCUUCAGAAAAGAAGAGCGGCAUUGAAUUAAAUGGACUAUAAAAGGAAAUCUUUCAGCUGAAGUAUUCUGACAGCAGCAUAUUCUUGCCAACCAGGUCGUUCCAAAUGUGUAUCUGACCAUUAUUUUAAAUUAGAAGAUAUACCACUGUCAAACCAUAUCAGCCAAGAAUAAAAAGUGAC
RNAcentral lists this long non-coding RNA (740 nucleotides) under Homo sapiens (human). RNAcentral's name for it is "HSALNT0322086". The record is from RNAcentral. Lineage: Eukaryota; Metazoa; Chordata; Mammalia; Primates; Hominidae.